Molecule: RNA transcript, 2775 nt
Organism: Cucurbita pepo subsp. pepo (vegetable marrow)
Lineage: Eukaryota; Viridiplantae; Streptophyta; Magnoliopsida; Cucurbitales; Cucurbitaceae
Gene: ISA3
Gene name: isoamylase 3
Source: RefSeq, a predicted model, not a curated record
CACCACGUAUGGAGAGUGUUCCUUAGAGUUCGGUUCACGUGGCGGACAUGAAAAUGAUCCGGUUUCGUUGCCGCGCUCGACUUUCCAAAUCGGUCUCUCAGCAAUCUGAUCACUUCCAGCUUUGAAGAUUCGAAUAUGAUCCGUUCUAUACCGCUCCACCAUUCAGCUCCUCUUCAGCUUCCUCUCUUUGCAUCAUCCUGCACCGGAGCUGCUCAUUCCGUUCAGUUUCGAUUGAAGCCGCAAGGGAAGCGAGCUCCCGGAAGCAGCAGCAGCCAAGAGGUUUUUAGUGAGGCAAAGCAAGGAGGCGUCAAGAUUUGCACUGUAAGUGCAUUUGGUCGUCGUGAUCAAGAUCGUGUGCUGGAGCAAGAAGCCCCUGAAAAUUUGGACACUGGCCCGAUGUUGAAAAUAGUCCCAGGCCAAGCAUUUCCCUUAGGCGUUUCAGAAGUCGACAACGGGAUCAAUUUUGCCAUUUUCUCACAGCAUGCUACCGCUGUCACCAUUUGUUUAUCAUUUAAUGAGAGGAUUGAUGAUAGAACGCUGGAGUUCAAAUUGGACCCUGAUGACAAUAGAACUGGAGAUAUUUGGCAUAUUUGUAUCCAGGAUUUGCCUCGGAAAAAUGUCCUAUAUGGCUAUAGGAUUGAUGGUCCUCAAGGUUGGCAUCAUGGCCAUCGGUUUGAUGACAGCAUUGUGCUUCUAGAUCCUUACGCAAAGUUUGUUGAAGGUCGAAGAUACUUUGGGGGUGAAAAUAAGUCAUCUGGUUUUCUUGGGACCUAUGAUUUCGAUAGCUUGCCUUUUGAUUGGGGAGAUGACUAUAAGCUUCCUAAUAUACUAGAGAAAGAUCUUGUAAUAUAUGAAAUGAAUGUCCGUGCAUUCACAGCUGAUGAAUCUAGUGGCUUGGCUUCAAGCAUACGGGGCAGUUACCUGGGUGUUAUUGAAAAGAUUCCGCAUCUGCUAGAGCUCGGUGUCAAUGCAGUUGAAUUAUUGCCUGUCUUUGAGUUUGAUGAGUUAGAGUUCCAAAGGCAUCCAAACCCCAGGAAUCAUAUGAUCAAUACGUGGGGCUACUCCACAAUCAACUUUUUUGCGCCAAUGAGUCGAUAUGCUAGUGCUGGUGGUGGACCUCUUAAUGCUUCGCGGGAAUUUAAAGAAAUGGUUAAAGCCUUGCAUGGUGCUGGGAUAGAGGUCAUUUUGGAUGUUGUGUACAACCACACUAAUGAGGCUGAUGAUGUAUAUCCAUAUACCACUUCAUUUCGUGGCAUUGAUAAUAAGGUUUAUUACAUGUUGGACCUAAGGAAUAAUGGUCAAUUUUUGAACUUCUCUGGCUGUGGCAACACCUUAAACUGUAACCAUCCAGUGGUCAUGGAACUAAUUCUUGACAGCUUAAGGCACUGGGUGGUCGAAUAUCACGUAGAUGGUUUUAGAUUUGAUCUUGCUAGUGUUCUUUGCCGGGGACCAGAUGGUGCUCCACUUAGUGCUCCCCCACUCAUAAGGGCAAUAUCAAAAGAUGAUAUCCUAUCAAGGUGUAAAAUAAUUGCAGAACCAUGGGAUUGUGGAGGUCUUUAUCUUGUUGGUAGAUUUCCAAAUUGGGAUCGGUGGGCUGAAUGGAAUGGAAUAUACCGUGACGACAUUAGAAAAUUUAUCAAGGGCGACUGUGGCAUGAAGGGAAGCUUUGCAACUCGAGUUUCUGGGUCUUCUGAUCUUUACAAAGUGAAUAACCGUAAGCCUUUUCAUGGUAUUAACUUUGUUAUUGCUCAUGAUGGAUUUACACUUCGUGAUCUAGUUUCUUACAAUGUCAAGCACAAUAAUGCCAAUGGAGAAGGUGGAAAUGAUGGAUGCAAUGAUAACUUCAGCUGGAAUUGUGGUUUUGAAGGAGAAACGGAAGAUGCAAAUAUUAGAGCUUUGCGCUCAAGGCAAAUGAAAAACUUCCAUUUGGCACUAAUGACAUCUCAGGGAACACCAAUGAUGUUAAUGGGGGAUGAGUACGGGCAUACUCGUUAUGGAAAUAACAAUAGCUAUGGACAUGAUACAGCUCUUAACCAUUUUCUUUGGGGACAGUUAGAGGCACGGAAGAGGGAUCACUUCAGAUUUUUCUCUGAAGUGAUAAAGUUUAGAAGGAAGCAUCCCCAUUUAUUCAGUCGGGAAAAUUUUCUCGGCGAGAAUGACAUAACUUGGCAUGAAAGCAAUUGGGAUAAUCCUGAAAGUAAAUUUCUUGCCUACACGCUUCAUGAUGGUAAUGGAGAAGACGUUUACUUGGCAUUCAAUGCUCAUGAUUAUUUUGUCAGUGUUUCAUUACCCUCUCCUCCAACAAAGCGAAAAUGGUUUCGUGUGGUGGACACCAAUCUGGAGUCUCCUCAAGACUUUGUAUUGGAUGGCAUUCGGGGCAUUGGAAGCACCUAUAAUUUGGCUCCCUAUUCCUCAAUUCUUCUGAAAGCCAAGUUAGAAAAUGAACUUCUUUGAUACUAACUCUAUAAUUAAUCAAACCAUUAUUAGGCAGAUGAAUCAAGUCCUGUACAACAUGACAAUCGAAGUAUCGUGGAAGAAAUAAAUUAUGCAAUCUAAUGGAGGACGUGUAGAGCUAUCCUCGGCAUGGAAUUCAGUGGUUCAAGAACAAGGAGGAAGUGGGACGAUCUCAAGAAUAUUUUUGUGCAUUAAUGGUGGGACAAUUGUGUGGGUAAAUGAUCAAAUUCUUUGCCCCAAAAUCCCACUGUUCCUUCUUCACUCAACAUCAUAUAUUUGGGAACAAUUCUUCUUGGUAAUUUCAAUUUUACUGUUUAAAUA